Molecule: ribosomal RNA, 433 nt
Filed under: uncultured bacterium
Lineage: Bacteria
Description: partial 16S ribosomal RNA
Rfam family: Bacterial small subunit ribosomal RNA
Source: RNAcentral
AACGAACGCUGGCGGCAGGCCUAACACAUGCAAGUCGAACGAAGUCUUCGGACUUAUUGGCGCACGGGUGUGUAACACGUGGGAAUAUACCUUACGCUGGGGGAUAACAUCGGGAAACUGAUGCUAAUACCGCAUACGCCCUUCGGGGGAAAGAUUUAUCGACGAAGGAUGAGCCCGCGUCCGAUUCGCUAGUUGGUGAGGUAAUGGCUCACCAAGGCUCCGAUCGGUAGCUGGUCUGAGAGGAUGACCAGCCACACUGGGACUAAGACACGGCCCAGACUCCUACGGGAGGCAGCAGUGGGGAAUAGUGGACAAUGGGCGCAAGGCUGAUCCAGCCAUGCCGCGUGAGUGAUGAAGGCCUUAGGGUUGUAAAGCUCUUUCAACCACGACGAUGAUGACGGUAGUGGGAGAAGAAGCCCCGGCUAACUUCGUG